This 497-nucleotide ribosomal RNA is filed under the name uncultured bacterium. Its description in RNAcentral is "partial 16S ribosomal RNA". It matches the Rfam family "Bacterial small subunit ribosomal RNA", at positions 28 to 507 of the family's 1533-position model. The record is from RNAcentral.
GAUGAACGCUGGCGGCGUGCCUAAUACAUGCAAGUCGAGCGAACAGACGAGGAGCUUGCUCCUCGGACGUUAGCGGCGGACGGGUGAGUAACACGUGUAUAACCUACCUAUAAGACUGGGAUAACUUCGGGAAACCGGAGCUAAUACCGGAUAAUAUAUUGCAUCGCAUGGUUCAAUAGUGAAAGACGGCUUUGCUGUCACUUAUAGGUUGAUCCGCGCCGCAUUAACAAGUUGGGAAGGUAACGGCUUACCAAGGCAACGAUCCGGAACCGACCUGGAGGGGGGUCCGGCAACCCUGGAACUGAGCCACGACCCAGACUCUAAAGGGAGGAGGAGGAGGGGAACCUUCGGAAAUGGGCGAAAGCCGAACGGAGCAACGCCGCGUGAGUGAUGAGGUUCUUGGAAUCGUAAACUUCGGUUAUUAGGGAAGAACAAAAGUGUAAGUAACUAUGCACGUCUUGACGGUACCUAAUCAGAAAGCCACGGCUAACUACGUG